GAGUUUGAUCAUGGCUCAGGACGAACGCUGGCGGCGUGCUUAACACAUGCAAGUCGAACGGAAAGGCCCUGCUUUUGUGGGGUGCUCGAGUGGCGAACGGGUGAGUAACACGUGAGUAACCUGCCCUUGACUUUGGGAUAACUUCAGGAAACUGGGGCUAAUACCGGAUAGGAGCUCCUGCUGCAUGGUGGGGGUUGGAAAGUUUCGGCGGUUGGGGAUGGACUCGCGGCUUAUCAGCUUGUUGGUGGGGUAGUGGCUUACCAAGGCUUUGACGGGUAGCCGGCCUGAGAGGGUGACCGGCCACAUUGGGACUGAGAUACGGCCCAGACUCCUACGGGAGGCAGCAGUGGGGAAUAUUGCACAAUGGGCGGAAGCCUGAUGCAGCAACGCCGCGUGCGGGAUGACGGCCUUCGGGUUGUAAACCGCUUUCGCCUGUGACGAAGCGUGAGUGACGGUAAUGGGUAAAGAAGCACCGGCUAACUACGUGCCAGCAGCCGCGGUGAUACGUAGGGUGCGAGCGUUGUCCGGAUUUAUUGGGCGUAAAGGGCUCGUAGGUGGUUGAUCGCGUCGGAAGUGUAAUCUUGGGGCUUAACCCUGAGCGUGCUUUCGAUACGGGUUGACUUGAGGAAGGUAGGGGAGAAUGGAAUUCCUGGUGGAGCGGUGGAAUGCGCAGAUAUCACGAGGAACACCGGUGGCGAAGGCGGCCCCCUGGACGAAGACUGACGCUCAGGUGCGAAAGCGUGGGGAGCAAACAGGAUUAGAUACCCUGGUAGUCCACGCCGUAAACGAUGUCGACUUGGAGGUUGUGCCCUUGAGGCGUGGCUUCCGUAGCUAACGCUUUAAGUACCCCGCCUGGGGAGUACGGCCGCAAGGCUAAAACUCAAAGGAAUUGACGGGGCCCCGCACAAGCGGCGGAGCAUGCGGAUUAAUUCGAUGCAACGCGUAGAACCUUACCUGGGUUUGACAUGGAUCGGGAGUGCUCAGAGAUGGGUGUGCCUCUUUUGGGGUCGGUUCACAGGUGGUGCAUGGCUGUCGUCAGCUCGUGUCGUGAGAUGUUGGGUUAAGUCCCGCAACGAGCGCAACCCUUGUUCACUGUUGCCAGCACGUUAUGGUGGGGACUCAGUGGAGACCGCCGGGGUCAACUCGGAGGAAGGUGGGGAUGACGUCAAGUCAUCAUGCCCCUUAUGUCCAGGGCUUCACGCAUGCUACAAUGGCUGGUACAGAGAGUGGCGAGCCUGUGAGGGUGAGCGAAUCUCGGAAAGCCGGUCUCAGUUCGGAUUGGGGUCUGCAACUCGACCUCAUGAAGUCGGAGUCGCUAGUAAUCGCAGAUCAGCAACGCUGCGGUGAAUACGUUCCCGGGGCUUGUACACACCGCCCGUCAAGUCAUGAAAGUUGGUAACACCCGAAGCCGGUGGCCUAACCGUUGUGGGGGAGCCGUCGAAGGUGGGACUGGUGAUUAGGACUAAGUCGUAACAAGGUAAC
RNAcentral lists this ribosomal RNA (1482 nucleotides) under uncultured soil bacterium. Its description in RNAcentral is "bacterial SSU rRNA". It matches the Rfam family "Bacterial small subunit ribosomal RNA". The record is from RNAcentral.